AUCGUUCUUUGUGGAUUCAGAUAACACCCUUGGUGGAUUCCGAGGUUAUCAUUUCCGCGCUGCGUCAAUAUUGAUUUGGUUAAUUGCACACAGAACACCUGUAGUAUCGGCUGUUUUUAACUCAUUACCCUUGCACUUUCAUCGUUGCGAUCCGAGGACUCGUGUGUUGGACCCGUCCCUCUGAUGGUUGAGCCUAGGUUAUUGUGGGAGAAAGUCAAAUUUUACUGUGUAGUUUUUUUCCUUUUUUUGGUUAGUCCUUAUAUGAUUAUGUUUUGAUUGUUUAAUAGAGGGGCGCAUUCAAGGGGAUGUAACCCUGAAGUUGCGGUGCUAUUGUUUUCACAUAGUUUUAUGAUCUUUACCUGUUAGUGCAGCUAAUUCUCUGCCACUGUGAUUUUGGAGUAAAUCAAAGACUGAGUUCAUGUUUUCAUUGUAACUAUUUGAUUCCAGGUGGUCAUUGAUAUAACCAGAAUGUUUGCAUCUAUGUAAAGGCUAGUGACAAGUACUCAUUCAGUUCGUGAUGAUGCCUUCAGAAUCUUC
Molecule: long non-coding RNA, 537 nt
Organism: Asparagus officinalis (garden asparagus)
Lineage: Eukaryota; Viridiplantae; Streptophyta; Magnoliopsida; Asparagales; Asparagaceae
Exons: 3
Source: RefSeq, a predicted model, not a curated record